This 4038-nucleotide long non-coding RNA is filed under the name Apis mellifera (honey bee). RNAcentral describes it as "uncharacterized LOC107965091, transcript variant X1". Lineage: Eukaryota; Metazoa; Arthropoda; Insecta; Hymenoptera; Apidae. The record is from RNAcentral.
UUUUCUUAUUUUUUUAAUUAAUGUAAAAAUAUAUGUGCCAAUAGUUGUUUAUAUUAAAGUUUAGAAUUAAUCAUCCUAAUCAUUAGAAUGAUUUGAAUUGUAAAUAUGAUUGAAUCUCGAUAAUUUGAAAUUAUAAUUUCAAAAUCGAAAUGUAUUUUUCAUAUUCUUCUAACAAUAAUUGGAAUAUUCAUCAUGCUUUCAUAUCGAGCUAAUCAUCUUUUAUCAAUCAAUUGUCAUUUGUCAGUCAAGUAUCUGUCUAAUUGUUAUACAUCUCAUAACUCAACUUGAUUUGUUUCACAUUUCCUUUUUCAUUUAUGCAUAUCUUUAAUUAUCACUUUCACGUUUACAUAUUUUAACUGUAGAUACGAAUGAUUAUUAUCUUUGAGCGUUCGAAAAAGAUAAGACAAAAUCUCUGCAAAUUUUAAUUCUCAUAUCUCAAGAUUCGUGUUAAAUCUUAUAUUUGUUUAUUCGAUAUUCGAUGAGAUUAAUAUCAAAAGAAAAUUGCAUCCACAAUUUUUUAAUUAUUUAAUCAAUUUAAUCACGCGCAAAUAUUGUGAAACGAAAUAAAAACAAUUUCAGAUGAAAAAGACUCUACAAAGAAGACUUUAAUAUCAUAUUAUAUCUGUAAUUUGUCAUUCGUCGGUUAAUUAACUAUUAGUUAUCUAAUUAGUUUAUAAUUAAACUUAUCAUGCAACAAAACUUUGAAACUAAAUGACACCGGGAAUGAGUAGAGUAAAAUCAUGUUCUAUAGAAGAUUUCGAUGUCGCAAUAUCGAAAGUAUAUUCGGACAUCGCGUUAACCACGGAAACAGUCGUCGAGAACGCGUGGAAGUAACUUUCGCCUUCGUGAGAGGCACGAAGCCUACAACACGCAGCAGCUGUAUCUACUUUUCGGGCAAGAACUUGACCCACAAUUCCGGAAAUGGAAAUAAAAGAAGAUUCAUUGCCAUCGUCCUCGUGGUAGUCGUCGCAAUGGCCGUGGUUCCCUCGACUUUCUCUCUCGCCGGGGAAAAUAUUUCGCCAGGAAUCGAGCGAAAUAAAAAAAAAAAAAGAGAAAAAUCAUUAUUUACAAGGGAGAAUACAACCAUGUAUGGUUGAAUGGCGUCGAAUUCGAUACAUGGAAGCGGCAACGAAAGCGAUGGAUGAAAAAGAAAAAGAAAAAAAGAGGGAAAAAUUUUAGACGUACACUUUCUAAAAGUACGCGCUUACGCGAGACGUGUAUAUUCAUGUAGAAAGGUUUUUAUGAAUUUUUCGAAGCAACAACCGGCCUCUAGAUCAAUUUCUAAUGUUGAAGAAUGAAGAAAAAUAAUAGAAGAAGAGUGAAUUUUACUUUUAUCGUUUUCUCUUUGCGCACGUUAUGUCGAAAUGUUGAUCGUAUCGAUGAUUUUUUUAUCGUUUUGACCGUUGUUUGAAUAAAUAUUUAUUUCGAGAACUUUUUAAUUAUGCAACUUUAUUCGUUGCAUAAUUAAAAUUUUAUAUUUAAUCAAGUUACGGUUCAAAAAAAAAGAAUCUCGAGUGAGUUAUAUCUAUUCUUAAUUACUUUUCGAGCAAUUCAUUUGGAAUAAUAACGAAAUAAUUUUAAUUUAUGUUUGUGUGAUACGUCCUAUAUAUUUUAUACUUUAUUUCAAAUUUAUCUAAGAAUAAUUUCUUACAGAAUGGAAGAGGACAAAAAUGGAAGUUAUAAAUGAAAACUUUGAUCGAGAUCGUUCUGCUUCGCUAUUAGAUUACUUCCUCUUACGUAGAGGAAGGAAAUCUGUCUUCAAAAGCGAAUUUUAUGAUCGACAAAUAUGAUAUACGAUGGCUGUUGGAAAAUAUCCGGUCAAAACGUAAUCACAUUAUUGAAACUUAAACUUUUCCAACGUUUUUAUAUCAAUUAAAUUUACGUAAAAAUUUACGUUACUUGUGUUAUUUACUAGUAGAUUAGUAGAUUAAUUAUAAUAAGAAAUAACAAAAUACAUCGAUUAUAUAAUUUCGCUUAAGUAUAUAUGCAAAUCAUCGUCUGACAUUAACACCUUCGCACGGCAAUAUUGAUUAAAAUUAUUAAUGAUCUUGGAGAUUUGAGAAAAAAAUUGAUAGAACUAUAAAAGUACUUAUUAGACAAGUCUUAAGUUCGACAAAACCCUCAACACUUUCAACUUAACGUUCUAAAUACGAGAAAUAUGUGCAAAAUGUCGAGGAAAGUUUGAAGAAAGUAAAAGAAGAAAAAUAAAGAAAAAAAAAAACAAUUUAUAAUAAGAGAGCAAACGAAGAAAUAUCGUUUUCGAAAUAAAUACCAAGUAAUUUUUAUCCUUAUUAAUUGUCAUUGCCAUCAAUUGUGAUAUUAAUUCACCACGUACAAAUUGUGUACAAGGAAGCAGAAAAAAGUAAAAAGAUGAAAGAAAAGAAGAAACGAGAAAAAAACAAGUCCGACUUAUUCAUUGUCAAAUUAAGAAUCAACGCGUAACAAGUUUUUCAUCCAACAACGAUCACGAUAAAUAAUUCAACGUGUUUCAGGCCGCGAGUGAAAAGAAGGGUAAUGCGAUUCAGCAAAUCAGCUGGGAAACUUGAAGCGAGUAGACGCGUUUAUGUGAUAAUAGAAAAUUAUAUCUCGUGGAAAAAGAACGGGAAAAGGGAAUGUUAGCUUCUCGUGCGUGCCAGAAGAGCGAGAGAAGAUAAAACCGUAUGAAAGUUUCGGAUUCGUGUGAAAGUGCGCGGAAUCUUCUCUCGAUUCUGCUACACUCUUGAGAACCACGAGCAUCUCGUUGGAUAACGAAGACAAUCGAAAAGCAGAAUUGAAUGAAUUUUUAGACGAAUUAAAAAGGGAAUACGAUUUGAUUCAUUUGUUUUUUCGAUUGUGAAUUUUAUUCAUUUCUAAUAAUUUCCAAGUUGAAUUUUAAGUAGACAAUUUCUUUUUUUAUAAAAUAUUAUAAAUUAGUAGUAGAGUCGAGAAAUUGGAAUAAGAAAUUAUUGUUAAUUGGUUAUGCAAGUAAAACUUUAAUCUUAUAAUUCAAAUUAAUAACAAUUUUAUUAAUAUUUUUAUGUUCUAGUAAUUAUCAGGUCGGUGUAAAAAAGAUUUAUUUCAUGGCGAUUAGCUUCCAUAUUUAUCGAUAAUAAAUUUACCGGUAUCAACAGUUGGAAUAGAGAUUGCACAACUAUUAAUGUCAUUACAUGAAUCCGCAAGGAAUUGACACUCUCUUUGACGAGUCUAUGAUUGUAUCAUCGUGUUAUUUUAAACUUUUCCAGAUGAAAUAUCUUUAUACAAUUGAUCAAACAGAGAAAUUACACUUGUAAAACUGUAUUGAAUUUAAUUUAGAAGAGGAAAAAAAAAUACUCUAAUCAAAACAAGAUGUAGAUGUAAAUAUAUAUCAAGAGAUUCAACGAGACAAUUUAUUUUCAUUAAACGAUAUUUGAAAUAACUCAUUUGCAUUCAGCAUGCAAUAAUACAUGUUAUUACAUGACACAUAUUUAGCCUUAUGUGUCAAUCAACGGGAACACAUAAGCAUCAUUAUCUGAACUGCACAUAAAUGGAAACAAUGCUUAUAUCAUUUGCGACAGAUGUAUGAUAAAUUUAUUCCAUUUUGAUCUUCGAAAGCUAACAGUGGGUCAAAAUGAUUUAAAAAUACAUGUAUCGAUGAUCCAAAGUAAUUGAUCUAGAAACACUUAUUAAUAUCUACAUAAAAUAAUGAUAAAAUAAAAAUUGAUCAAUUAUAAUAAAAGAAAAAUACACAUCAUGCUGCAGAUAAUUAUUAAUUUAAAAAAUCUAGAAACUAGUUGAAACGUAUAUAUCGUGGAAAGGCAAACUAAUUGUGCGUAAGAAAUACAUAUCUGAUUAAUUUUUUAUUUUAACAUUAACAUUUUUUUUUAAAUAAACUUGUAAUUACACUUAAAUGAAACAAGCAAUUCAAUAAUUAAUAGUCUAUUUACAAAUAUUCUUCUACAAAAAAACAGAAUCAGAAUUGGCAUUCAACUAACAUUACCAAGUUUCAAUAGAACCUAGUGAAGAAAACUACUUUAACGUAACUAUUUUGUAUUAAACCACAAGUAUAUAGAAUACCUAUUA